GAUGAACGCUGGCGGCGUGCCUAAUACAUGCAAGUCGAGCGAACGGACGAGAAGCUUGCUUCUCUGACGUUAGCGGCGGACGGGUGAGUAACACGUGGAUAACCUACCUAUAAGACUGGGAUAACUUCGGGAAACCGGAGCUAAUACCGGAUAAUAUUUUGAACCGCAUGGUUCAAUAGUGAAAGACGGUCUUGCUGUCACUUAUAGAUGGAUCCGCGCUGCAUUAGCUAGUUGGUAAGGUAACGGCUUACCAAGGCAACGAUGCAUAGCCGACCUGAGAGGGUGAUCGGCCACCCUGGAACUGAGACACGGUCCAGACUCCUACGGGAGGCAGCAGUAGGGAAUCUUCCGCAAUGGGCGAAAGCCUGACGGAGCAACGCCGCGUGAGUGAUGAAGGUCUUCGGAUCGUAAAACUCUGUUAUUAGGGAAGAACAUAUGUGUAAGUAACUGUGCACUUCUUGACGGUACCUAAUCAGAAAGCCACGGCUAACUACGUG
This 497-nucleotide ribosomal RNA is filed under the name uncultured bacterium. Its description in RNAcentral is "partial 16S ribosomal RNA". It matches the Rfam family "Bacterial small subunit ribosomal RNA", at positions 28 to 507 of the family's 1533-position model. The record is from RNAcentral.